UCCCUGGUGGUCCAAUGGUUAGGAUUUGGUGCUUUCACUCACAGGGCCCAGGUUCGAUCCCUGGUUGGGGAA
RNAcentral lists this transfer RNA (72 nucleotides) under Bos taurus (domestic cattle). It matches the Rfam family "tRNA". Rfam says of the family: Transfer RNA (tRNA) molecules are approximately 80 nucleotides in length. Their secondary structure includes four short double-helical elements and three loops (D, anti-codon, and T loops). RNAcentral also lists the same sequence under 4 other names. The record is from Rfam by way of RNAcentral. Lineage: Eukaryota; Metazoa; Chordata; Mammalia; Artiodactyla; Bovidae.